GCGUGGCGGCGGGCUUACACAUGCAGUCGACGAUGAUUAUCUAGCUUGCUAGAUAUGAUUAGUGGCGGACGGGUGAGUAACAUUUAGGAAUCUGCCUAGUAUUGGGGGAUAGCUCGGGGAAACUCGAAUUAAUACCGCAGACGACCUACGGGUGAAAGGGGGCGCAAGCUCUUGCUAUUAGAUGAGCCUAAAUCAUAUUAGCUAGUUGGUGGGGUAAAGGCCCACCAAGGCGACCAUCUGUAACUGGUCUGAGAGGAUGAUCAGUCACACCGGAACUGAGACACGGUCCGGACUCCUACGGGAGGCAGCAGUGGGGAAUAUUGGACAAUGGGGGCAACCCUGAUCCAGCCAUGCCGCGUGUGUGAAGAAGGCCUUUUGGUUGUAAAGCACUUUAAGCAGGGAGGAGAGGCUAAUGGUUAAUACCCAUUAGAUUAGACGUUACCUGCAGAAUAAGCACCGGCUAACUCUGUGCCAGCAGCCGCGGUAAUACAGAGGGUGCGAGCGUUAAUCGGAAUUACUGGGCGUACAGCGAGUGUAGGUGGCUCAUUAAGUCACAUGUGAAAUCCCCGGGCUUAACCUGGGAACUGCAUGUGAUACUGGUGGUGCUAGAAUAUGUGAGAGGGAAGUAGAAUUCCAGGUGUAGCGGUGAAAUGCGUAGAGAUCUGGAGGAAUACCGAUGGCGAAGGCAGCUUCCUGGCAUAAUAUUGACACUGAGAUUCGAAAGCGUGGGUAGCAAACAGGAUUAGAUACCCUGGUAGUCCACGCCGUAGACGAUGUCUACUAGCCGUUGGGGUCCUUGAGACUUUAGUGGGCGCAGUUAACGCGAUAAGUAGACCGCCUGGGGAGUACGGCCGCCAGGGUAAAACUCCAAUGAAUUGACGGUGGCCCGCACAAGCGGUGGAGCAUGUGGUUUAAUUCGAUGCAACGCGAAGAACCUUACCUGGUCUUGACAUAGUGAGAAUCCUGCAUAGAUGCGGGAGUGCCUUCGGGAAUCACAUACUGUGCUGCAUGGCUGUCGUCAGCUCCUGUCUGAGAUGUUGGGUAGUCCAC
Molecule: ribosomal RNA, 1050 nt
Filed under: Faucicola osloensis
Lineage: Bacteria; Pseudomonadati; Pseudomonadota; Gammaproteobacteria; Moraxellales; Moraxellaceae
Description: bacterial SSU rRNA
Rfam family: Bacterial small subunit ribosomal RNA
Source: RNAcentral